UCCCCGGUAGCUCAGUCGGUAGAGCAAGUGACUGUUAAUCACUGGGUCGGCGGUUCGAGCCCGUCCCGGGGAGCCA
This 76-nucleotide transfer RNA is filed under the name Candidatus Paracaedimonas acanthamoebae. RNAcentral describes it as "tRNA-Asn (GTT) (tRNA-Asn-GTT-1-1)". It matches the Rfam family "tRNA". From Rfam's summary of the family: Transfer RNA (tRNA) molecules are approximately 80 nucleotides in length. Their secondary structure includes four short double-helical elements and three loops (D, anti-codon, and T loops). The record is from RNAcentral. RNAcentral also lists the same sequence under 23 other names. Lineage: Bacteria; Pseudomonadati; Pseudomonadota; Alphaproteobacteria; Holosporales; Caedimonadaceae.